AGAGUUUGAUCCUGGCUCAAGAUGAACGCUAGCGGCAGGCUUAACACAUGCAAGUCGAGGGGCAGCAUGUCCAGCAAUGGAUGAUGGCGACCGGCGGAAGGGUGCGUAACGCGUGAGCAACAUGCCCUAUACAGGGAGAUACACCAGGGAAACUUGGUCUAAUAUCCCAUAGCAUUCAUUGAAGGCAUCUUUAAUGAAUUAAAGCUUCGGUGGUAUAGGAUUGGCUCGCGUGACAUUAGCCAGAUGGUGAGGUAACGGCUCACCAUAGCAAUGAUGUCUAGGGGUUUUGAGAGGAAGGCCCCCCACACUGGGACUGAGACACGGCCCAGACUCCUACGGGAGGCAGCAGUGAGGAAUAUUGGACAAUGGAUGGAAGUCUGAACCAGCCAUGUCGCGUGCAGGAUGACUGCCCUAUGGGUUGUAAACUGCUUUUAUAUUGGAAGAAUUGCGCUUACGAGUUAAGCGUUUGACGGUACAUUAUGAAUAAGGAUCGGCUAACUCCGUGCCAGCAGCCGCGGUAAUACGGAGGAUCCGAGCGUUAUCCGGAUUUAUUGGGUUUAAAGGGUGCGUAGGCGGAAAUGUAAGUCAGUGGUGAAAUCCUGCAGCUUAACUGUAGAAUAGCCGUUGAAACUGUGUUUCUUGAGUACAUUUGAGGUAGGCGGAAUGUGGUGUGUAGCGGUGAAAUGCAUAGAUAUACCACAGAACACCGAUUGCGAAGGCAGCUUACUAAACUGUCACUGACGCUGAUGCACGAAAGCGUGGGUAUCAAACAGGAUUAGAUACCCUGGUAGUCCACGCCGUAAACGAUGAGUACUAAGUGUCGGAAGAAUCCGGUGCUGCAGUUAACGCAUUAAGUACUCCGCCUGAGUAGUACGUGCGCAAGCAUAAAACUCAAAGGAAUUGGCGGGACCUCGCACAAGCGGUGGAUCAUGUUGUUUAAUUCGACGAUACGCGAAGAACCUUACCAGGCCUUGACAUACCGAGCAAAGCUAUGGAAACAUAGUGGAGGUUAACUGGGAUACAGGUGGUGCAUGGUUGUCGUCAGCUCGUGUCGUGAGAUGUUGGGUUAAGUCCCGCAACGAGCGCAACUCUUAUCGCUAUUUGCCAUCAUUAAGUUGGGGAGGAUAGCGAGACUGCCAGUGACAAACUGGAGGAAGGUGGGAAUGACGUCAAAUCAUCAUGCCCCUUAUGGUCUGGGCUACAAACGUGAUACAAUGGUUGGUACAAAGGGAGGCAAAGUCGUGAGGCCAAGCGAACCCCAUAAAACCAAUCUCAGUUCGGAGUGAAGUCUGCAACUCGACUUCAUGAAGUCGGAAUCGCUAGUAAUCGUAGAUCAGAACGCUACGGUGAAUACGUUCUCGAGGUUUGCACACACCCCCCGUCAAG
RNAcentral lists this ribosomal RNA (1386 nucleotides) under uncultured bacterium. Its description in RNAcentral is "partial 16S ribosomal RNA". It matches the Rfam family "Bacterial small subunit ribosomal RNA". The record is from RNAcentral.